RNAcentral lists this ribosomal RNA (455 nucleotides) under Anaplasma phagocytophilum. RNAcentral describes it as "bacterial SSU rRNA". It matches the Rfam family "Bacterial small subunit ribosomal RNA", at positions 111 to 595 of the family's 1533-position model. Lineage: Bacteria; Pseudomonadati; Pseudomonadota; Alphaproteobacteria; Rickettsiales; Anaplasmataceae. The record is from RNAcentral.
UAAUGCAUAGGAAUCUACCUAGUAGUAUGGGAUAGCCACUAGAAAUGGUGGGUAAUACUGUAUAAUCCCUGCGGGGGAAAGAUUUAUCGCUAUUAGAUGAUCCUAUGUUAGAUUAUCUAGUUGGUAGGGUAAAGGCCUACCAAGGCGAUGAUCUAUAGCUGGUCUGAGAGGAUGAUCAGCCACACUGGAACUGAGAUACGGUCCAGACUCCUACGGGAGGCAGCAGUGGGGAAUAUUGGACAAUGGGCGCAAGCCUGAUCCAGCUAUGCCGCGUGAGUGAAGGAAAGGCCUUAGGGUUGUAAAACUCUUUCAGUAGGGAAAGAAUUAAUGACGGUACCUACAGAAGAAGUCCCGGCAAACUCCGUGCCAGCAGCCGCGGUAAUACGGAAGGGGGCAAGCGUUGUUCGGAAUUAUUGGGCGUAAAGGGCAUGUAGGCGGUUCGGUAAGUUAAAGGU